GACGAACGCUGGCGGCGUGCUUAACACAUGCAAGUCGAACGGAAAGGCCCUGCUUUUGUGGGGUGCUCGAGUGGCGAACGGGUGAGUAACACGUGAGUAACCUGCCCUUGACUUUGGGAUAACUUCAGGAAACUGGGGCUAAUACCGGAUAGGAGCUCCUGCUGCAUGGUGGGGGUUGGAAAUUUGCGGCGGUUGGGGAUGGACUCGCGGCUUAUCAGCUUGUUGGUGGGGUAGUGGCUUACCAAGGCUUUGCCGGGUAGCCGGCCUGAGAGGGUGACCGGCCACAUUGGGACUGAGAUACGGCCCAGACUAGUACGGGAGGCAGCAGUGGGGAAUGUUGCACAAUGGGCGGAAGCCUGAUGCAGCAACGCCGCGUGCGGGAAGACGGCCUUCGGGUUGUAAACCGAUUUCGCCUGUGCCGAAGCGUGAGUGACGGUAAUGGGUAAAGAAGCACCGGCUAACUACGUG
This 468-nucleotide ribosomal RNA is filed under the name uncultured bacterium. Its description in RNAcentral is "partial 16S ribosomal RNA". It matches the Rfam family "Bacterial small subunit ribosomal RNA", at positions 28 to 507 of the family's 1533-position model. The record is from RNAcentral.